CAGCAGCCACGGGAAUACGUAGGGUACGAGCGUUAAUCGGAAUUACUGGGCGUAAAGCGUGCGCAGGCGGUUCGUUAAGACAGAUGUGAAAUCCCCGGGCUUAACCUGGGAACUGCAUUUGUGACUGGCGAGCUAGAGUAUGGCAGAGGGGGGUAGAAUUCCACGUGUAGCAGUGAAAUGCGUAGAGAUGUGGAGGAAUACCGAUGGCGAAGACAGCCCCCUGGGCCAAUACUGACGCUCAUGCACGAAAGCGUGGGGAGCAAACAGGAUUAGAUACCCCCGUAGUCCCUGUCUCUUAUAC
Molecule: ribosomal RNA, 301 nt
Filed under: uncultured bacterium
Lineage: Bacteria
Description: partial 16S ribosomal RNA
Rfam family: Bacterial small subunit ribosomal RNA
Source: RNAcentral